GUCUCCAGCCAUAUCAGCCUGAAGGCGCCCGAUCUCGUCUGAUCUCGGAAGCUAAGCAGGGUCGGGCCUGGUUAGUACUUGGAUGGGAGACCACCUGGGAAUACCGGGUGCUGUAGGCU
Molecule: ribosomal RNA, 119 nt
Organism: Bos grunniens (domestic yak)
Lineage: Eukaryota; Metazoa; Chordata; Mammalia; Artiodactyla; Bovidae
Source: Ensembl